UGAUGGUUACGGCGGACGGGUGACUAACACGUAAGCAACCUGCCCUCAAGCUUGGGACUACUACCGGAAACGGUAACUAAUACCGAAUACUUGUUUUCUUCUCCUGAAGAUAACUGGAAAGACGGAGCAAUCUGUCACUUGGGGAUGGGCCUGCGGCGCAUUAACUAGUUGGUGGGGUAACGGCUCACCAAGGCGACGAUGCGUAGCCGACCUGAGAGGGUGAUCGGCCACACUGGGACUGAGACACGGCCCAGACUCCUACGGGAGGCAGCAGUAGGGAAUCUUCCGCAAUGGGCGAAAGCCUGACGGAGCAAUGCCGCGUGAGUGAUGAAGGUUUUCGGAUCGUAAAGCUCUGUUGCCAGGGAAGAACGCUUGGGAGAGUAACUGCUCUCAAGGUGACGGUACCUGAGAAGAAAGCCCCGGCUAACUACGUGCCAGCAGCCGCGGUAAUACGUAGGGGGCAAGCGUUGUCCGGAAUUAUUGGGCGUAAAGCGCGCGCAGGCGGUCAUUUAAGUCUGGUGUUUAAUCCCGGGGCUCAACCCCGGAUCGCACUGGAAACUGGGUGACUUGAGUGCAAAAGAAGAGAGUGGAAUUCCACGUGUAGCGGUGAAAUGCGUAAUAUGUGGAGGAACACCAGUGGCGAAGGCGACUCUCUGGGCUGUAACUGACGCUGAGGCGCGAAAGCGUGGGGAGCAAACAGGAUUAAAUACCCUGGUAGUCCACGCCGUAAACGAUGAGUGCUAGGUGUUAGGGGUUUCCAUACCCUUGGUGCCGAAGUUAACACAUUAAGCACUCCGCCUGGGGAGUACGGUCGCAAGACUGAACUCAAAGGAAUUGACGGGGACCCCACCAGCAGUGGAA
This 861-nucleotide ribosomal RNA is filed under the name Paenibacillus sp. RNAcentral describes it as "bacterial SSU rRNA". It matches the Rfam family "Bacterial small subunit ribosomal RNA", at positions 87 to 937 of the family's 1533-position model. Lineage: Bacteria; Bacillati; Bacillota; Bacilli; Caryophanales; Paenibacillaceae. The record is from RNAcentral.